UGGGGAAUCUUGGACAAUGGGCGCAAGCCUGAUCCAGCCAUGCCGCGUGGAUGAUGAAGGCCCUAGGGUUGUAAAAUCCUUUCGUUGGGGACGAUAAUGACGGUACCCAAAGAAGAAGCUCCGGCUAACUUCGUGCCAGCAGCCGCGGUAAUACGAAGGGGGCUAGCGUUGUUCGGAUUUACUGGGCGUAAAGCGCGUGUAGGCGGGUCGUUAAGUUGGGGGUGAAAUCCCGAGGCUCAACCUCGGAACUGCCUCCAAAACUACAAGUCUGGACCUAAGUAGAGGCAAGUGGAAUUGCGAGUGUAGAGGUGAAAUUCGUAGAUAUUCGCAGGAACACCAGUGGCGAAGGCGACUUGCUGGACUUAUGGUGACGCUGAGACGCGAAAGCGUGGGGAGCAAACAGGAUUAGAUACCCCCGUAGUCCCUGAGCGGGCUGGCAAGGCGCAU
This 447-nucleotide ribosomal RNA is filed under the name uncultured bacterium. Its description in RNAcentral is "bacterial SSU rRNA". It matches the Rfam family "Bacterial small subunit ribosomal RNA", at positions 355 to 825 of the family's 1533-position model. The record is from RNAcentral.